GCGCGAGUGCUGGAACUGGCAGACAGGCACGUUUGAGGUGCGUGUGCCUUUGGCGUACGGGUUCAAGUCCCGUCUCGCGCACCA
RNAcentral lists this transfer RNA (84 nucleotides) under Acutalibacter muris. Its description in RNAcentral is "tRNA-Leu". It matches the Rfam family "tRNA". From Rfam's summary of the family: Transfer RNA (tRNA) molecules are approximately 80 nucleotides in length. Their secondary structure includes four short double-helical elements and three loops (D, anti-codon, and T loops). Further hydrogen bonds mediate the characteristic L-shaped molecular structure. tRNAs have two regions of fundamental functional importance: the anti-codon, which is responsible for specific mRNA codon recognition, and the 3' end, to which the tRNAs corresponding amino acid is attached (by aminoacyl-tRNA synthetases). tRNAs cope with the degeneracy of the genetic code in two manners: having more than one tRNA (with a specific anti-codon) for a particular amino acid; and 'wobble' base-pairing, i.e. permitting non-standard base-pairing at the 3rd anti-codon position. Lineage: Bacteria; Bacillati; Bacillota; Clostridia; Eubacteriales; Acutalibacteraceae. RNAcentral also lists the same sequence under 3 other names. The record is from RNAcentral.